CUCCUGAAUGGCUAUCACUUUUGCUUCCUACUCUUUUGGCAAAGACCACAAAACCUUACAAACAAGUUCAUAGUUAGUACAGGUUUUAUCAAGACCAUUUAAAUCAUUAAUAAUAUCAAUAAAUUUGGAAAAUAUAUCAAAAAUUGACUCAUAUUUUUUAUUUUAAAUAUUUCAUACUUAUGAACAAGCAAAUUAAUUUUAGACUUUUUAACUUGACUUGUUCUCUCUUGAGUAAUUUUUAAUUUAUCCCA
Molecule: long non-coding RNA, 251 nt
Filed under: Elaeis guineensis (African oil palm)
Lineage: Eukaryota; Viridiplantae; Streptophyta; Magnoliopsida; Arecales; Arecaceae
Description: long non-coding RNA (EGUI_LNC081315)
Source: RNAcentral